RNAcentral lists this ribosomal RNA (339 nucleotides) under uncultured bacterium. RNAcentral describes it as "bacterial SSU rRNA". It matches the Rfam family "Bacterial small subunit ribosomal RNA", at positions 28 to 369 of the family's 1533-position model. The record is from RNAcentral.
GACGAACGCUGGCGGCGUGCUUAACACAUGCAAGUCGAGCGGUAAGGCCCUUUCGGGGGUACACGAGCGGCGAACGGGUGAGUAACACGUGGGUGACCUGCCCUUAGCUCUGGGAUAAGCCUGGGAAACUGGGUCUAAUACCGGAUAUGACUCCAUAACGCAUGUUGUGGGGUGGAAAGCCUUGUGCGGCUAGGGAUGGGCCCGCGGCCUAUCAGCUUGUUGGUGGGGUGAUGGCCACCAAGGCGACGACGGGUAGCCGGCCUGAGAGGGCGACCGGCCACACUGGGACUGAGACACGGCCCAGACUCCUACGGGAGGCAGCAGUGGGGAAUCUUGCGC